RNAcentral lists this unclassified non-coding RNA (1366 nucleotides) under uncultured Neocallimastigales. RNAcentral describes it as "partial contains internal transcribed spacer 1, 5.8S ribosomal RNA, internal transcribed spacer 2, and large subunit ribosomal RNA". The stretch from base 596 to 1366 matches the Rfam family "Eukaryotic large subunit ribosomal RNA", at positions 1 to 634 of the family's 3401-position model. The record is from RNAcentral. Lineage: Eukaryota; Fungi; Neocallimastigomycota; Neocallimastigomycetes; Neocallimastigales.
AAAAUAAUCCUACCCUUUGUGAAUUUUGUUUGUUUGAAUAAUUUUUUUUUUUUAAAAAAUUAUUGGAGUCUUUCCCUUUAGAGUUUGCUUUUGAGUUUGUAAAAGAAUUCGAAAACAUCUAAAGGGGAUGGUCAAUAAUUUUUUUUGAAAAAAGACAUUUUUUAAAAUUAAACUUUUUGUAUUCAUUUGUCUAAAAAUUAUUUUUAUAAUAUAAAAACAACUUUUGACAAUGGAUCUCUUGGUUCUCGCAACGAUGAAGAACGCAGCAAAAUGCGAUAAGUAGUGUGAAUUGCAGAAUACGUGAAUCAUCGAAUCUUUGAACGCAUAUUGCACUUUUUUAGUUUACUAAAAAAGUAUGUCUGUUUGAGUACCAGUAAAAUAUUCUCAUAAAAAUCAUUGUGGUAUUUUUAUGGCUAUGAGUGUUUACAACGAUACAAGUUGUUCACUUUAAAUUUUUUUUUAAUAUUGAAUUUUUCUAAUUUUAAUAAUUAAAAUUGGAUAAAAUUUUCCCGUCAAAAGGAAUAACCUAAACAAUUUUAAAUGAUUAAUUUUAGCAAAAUUUUCGUAAAAAAGGAAAAUUUUUAUUAAAAUAACUUGAUCUCAAAUCAGAUAAGAGUACCCGCUGAACUUAAGCAUAUCAAUAAGCGGAGGAAAAGAAACUAACAAGGAUUCCCUUAGUAACGGCGAGUGAAGCGGGAAGAGCUCAAAUUUGAAAUCUUCAAGGUUUUACCUUGACGAAUUGUAGUUUAAAGAAGUGUUUUCUGCUGAAGUUUGGUAAAAGUUCUUUGGAAUAGGACAUCAUAGAGGGUGAGAAUCCCGUAUUUGACCAUUAUUUUCAGCUUUGUGAUACACUUUCAAAGAGUCGGAUUGUUUGGGAAUGCAGUCCAAAAUGGGUGGUAAUUUCAUCUAAAGCUAAAUAUUGGCGAGAGACCGAUAGCGAACAAGUACCGUGAGGGAAAGAUGAAAGAACUUUGAAAAGAGAGUUAAACAGUACGUGAAAUUGUCAAAAGGGAAGCGUUUGACACCAGUGUUGUUUCCUCGAAAAUCAAUUAAAAAUGGCUCGAUUUUGUAUUGCUGAGACCUUAAAAGCUCACUGUACAUUUUUCGUGUCUUUUUUAAUGCACUUUUCGUUUAACAAGUCACAUCAGUUUCUUUUGUUGUAAAAGGGUCAUUGGAAGGUGGCUUUCUUUUCGGAGAAAGUGUUUAUAGCCUUUGGCCUCUGCAAUCGAAGAGACUGAGGUCUGCAGCGUAGACUCUUCGGGGUUAGAUACAUUUGUGCUAAGUUAUAGCUUUUUAUAGACAACUUGUUGACUAUAAUUAGUCUUGUAGCUUACUCGCUUAUGCUAUUUUACCUACGCUUAGGAUG